GUCACGGUGGUCUAGCGGUUAGAACGCUGGCCUUGUAAUCCUGGGGUCUCGGGUUCGAUUCCCGGCGGUGCCU
Non-coding RNA from Zootermopsis nevadensis, 73 nucleotides. The record is from Rfam. NCBI's taxonomy places the organism in Eukaryota, Metazoa, Arthropoda, Insecta, Blattodea, Termopsidae.